This is a non-coding RNA of Drosophila virilis, 1230 nucleotides long. The record is from Rfam. Lineage: Eukaryota; Metazoa; Arthropoda; Insecta; Diptera; Drosophilidae.
AUUCUGGUUGAUCCUGCCAGUAGUUAUAUGCUUGUCUCAAAUAUUAAGCCAUGCAUGUCUAAGUACACACGAAUUAACAGUGAAACCGCAAAAGGCUCAUUAUAUCAGUUAUGGUUCCUUAGAUCGUUAACAGUUACUUGGAUAACUGUGGUAAUUCUAGAGCUAAUACAUGCAAUUAAAACACGGACCUUUUGGAACGUGUGCUUUUAUUAGGCUAAAACCAAGCGAUCGCAAGAUCGUUUUAUUGGUUGAACUCUAGAUAACAUGCAGAUCGUAUGGUCUUGUACCGACGACAGAUCUUUCAAAUGUCUGCCCUAUCAACUUUUGAUGGUAGUAUCUAGGACUACCAUGGUUGCAACGGGUAACGGGGAAUCAUGGUUCGAUUCCUGAGAGGGAGCCUGAUAAACGGCUACUACAUCUAAGGAAGGCAGCAUGCGCGUAAAUUACCCACUCCCAGCUCGGGGAGGUAGUGACCAAAAAUAACAAUACAGGACUCAUAUCCGAGGCCCUGUAAUUGGAAUGAGUACACUUUAAAUCCUUUAACAAGGACCUAUUGGAGGGAAAGUCUGGUGCCAGCACCCGCGGUAAUUCCAGCUCCAAUAACGUAUAUUAAAGUUGUUGCGGUUAAAACGUUCGUAGUUGAACUAGUGCUUCAUACGGGUAUUACAACUUACAAUUGUAGUUAGUACUAUACCUUUAUGUAUGUAAGCGUAUUACCGGUGGAGUUCUUAUAUUUAAUUAAAUACUUGUAUUUUUUUAUAUAUUCCUCCUAUUUGAAAACCUGCAUUAGUGCUCUUCAUCGAGUGUUAUUGUGGGCCGGUACAAUUACUUUGAACAAAUUAGAGUGCUUAAAGCAGGCUUCAAAUGCCUGAAUAUUCUGUGCAUGGGAUAAUGAAAUAAGACCUCUGUUCUGCUUUCAUUGGUUUUCAGAUCAAGAGGUAAUGAUUAAUAGAAGCAGUUUGGGGGCAUUAGUAUUACGACGCGAGAGGUGAAAUUCUUGGACCGUCUUAACACUAACUUAAGCGAAAGCAUUUUGCCAAAUAUGUUCUCUUUAUUCAAGAACAAAAGUUAAACGUUCAAAUGCGAUCAGAUACCGCCCUAGUUCUAACCAUAAACAAUGCCGCCUAUCAAUUGCGUGUACCUACUUUUAUGGCUCUCUCAAUCACUUCCCGGGAAACCAAAACUUUUGGGCUCCUGGGGAAGUAAGGUUGCAAAGCUGAAACUUCAAGG